UCCAACCCGCGUAAGAAACGGUUUCUUACAGUAAGGAGUUUGCGCAGAAGUUGAAAAGCGUUCCAACCGGAUUUACUGACGGUUAGUAAAUCAUUUGUUUUCUGUUCCAACUUAAAUUGAAAACUGUUUGAAAACUGUCAGAACGGUUUGCAAAAUUUUCUCCUAUCAUUUAUCCGACGCAUGCGUAUUACCGUUAUAACCUAUAACCACGUCAUAACCAAUAAAAUAAUAGCAAAUUUGAUUAUACUCGUAUCUGUUUGAAUAAUUUAAACGGACUGUUCAACUAAUUAAAGACUUGUAAACAGAUAUCAUAAUUAAAUCGCAAUGAGUGACGAAGAGUAUAGUAGUGAGAUUAGUGACGUGUCGUCCAUGGAAAGUAGUGAUGAGGAGGAUUUAGAAUUACUACUAGAUGAGCACAGAAUUAAUAAUCAAAAUUAUUGAGGUAAAAUCGACAUUUUUGCACAUAAAUUUAUCUAAUAUCUUAUUGUGUUAAUAUUUUCAGAGGAAACUGUGCCUCAAGAUUCCAAUUAAUUUCCAAUUCCAAUUUAAUAGCCAAGUUGGCCAAUAUGGCAAUAUUCCUGCUUUGCAUCAAGUUCUCAUCUAUUGUGGUAUACGGGACACCAGACUACAAGUUUUCGAGAUGUUGCCGAUAGAUUUAAUGUGAAAAUUAGUUCAAUAAAUAGGAUUAUUUAUCGAG
Long non-coding RNA from Sitophilus oryzae (rice weevil), 697 nucleotides. RefSeq lists it as uncharacterized. Lineage: Eukaryota; Metazoa; Arthropoda; Insecta; Coleoptera; Curculionidae. The record is from RefSeq and is a predicted model, not a curated record. The transcript is spliced from 2 exons.